AGAGUUUGAUCCUGGCUCAGAACGAACGCUGGCGGCAGGCUUAACACAUGCAAGUCGAACGCUCGUAGCAAUACGGGAGUGGCAGACGGGUGAGUAACGCGUGGGAACAUACCCUCCGGUUCGGAAUAGCUCAGGGAAACUUGGAUUAAUACCGGAUACGGCUGAGAGGCGAAAGAUUUAUCGCCGGAGGAUUGGCCCGCGUUCGAUUAGCUAGUUGGUGAGGUAACGGCUCACCAAGGCGAUGAUCGAUAGCUGGUCUGAGAGGAUGAUCAGCCACAUUGGGACUGAGACACGGCCCAAACUCCUACGGGAGGCAGCAGUGGGGAAUAUUGGACAAUGGGCGCAAGCCUGAUCCAGCCAUGCCGCGUGAGUGAUGACGGCCUUAGGGUUGUAAAGCUCUUUCGCUCGGGACGAUAAUGACGGUACCGAGAUAAGAAGCCCCGGCUAACUUCGUGCCAGCAGCCGCGGUAAUACGAAGGGGGCUAGCGUUGUUCGGAAUUACUGGGCGUAAAGCGCGUGUAGGCGGGUCUUUAAGUCAGGGGUGAAAUGCCAAGGCUCAACCUUGGAACUGCCUUUGAUACUGGAGACCUUGAGUCCGGGAGAGGUGAGUGGAAUUGCGAGUGUAGAGGUGAAAUUCGUAGAUAUUCGCAAGAACACCAGUGGCGAAGGCGGCUCACUGGCCCGGAACUGACGCUGAGACGCGAAAGCGUGGGGAGCAAACAGGAUUAGAUACCCCUGUAGUCC
This 744-nucleotide ribosomal RNA is filed under the name uncultured bacterium. Its description in RNAcentral is "bacterial SSU rRNA". It matches the Rfam family "Bacterial small subunit ribosomal RNA", at positions 8 to 796 of the family's 1533-position model. The record is from RNAcentral.